RNAcentral lists this microRNA (22 nucleotides) under Monodelphis domestica (gray short-tailed opossum). Its description in RNAcentral is "mdo-miR-7386k-3p". The record is from miRBase by way of RNAcentral. Lineage: Eukaryota; Metazoa; Chordata; Mammalia; Didelphimorphia; Didelphidae.
AAAGAAGUAUUUGGUCCAUAGA